This 256-nucleotide ribosomal RNA is filed under the name uncultured bacterium. RNAcentral's name for it is "partial 16S ribosomal RNA". It matches the Rfam family "Bacterial small subunit ribosomal RNA", at positions 524 to 776 of the family's 1533-position model. The record is from RNAcentral.
UACGUAGGGUGCGAGCGUUGUCCGGAAUUACUGGGCGUAAAGAGCUCGUAGGUGGUUUGUCGCGUUGUCCGUGAAAACUCACAACUCAAUUGUGGGCGUGCGGGCGAUACGGGCAGACUGGAGUACUGCAGGGGAGACUGGAAUUCCUGGUGUAGCGGUGGAAUGCGCAGAUAUCAGGAGGAACACCGGUGGCGAAGGCGGGUCUCGUGGGCAGUGAACUGACGCUGGAGGAGCGAAAGCGUGGGGAGCGAACAGG